Molecule: ribosomal RNA, 478 nt
Filed under: uncultured bacterium
Lineage: Bacteria
Description: partial 16S ribosomal RNA
Rfam family: Bacterial small subunit ribosomal RNA
Source: RNAcentral
GAUGAACGCUGGCGGCGUGCUUAACACAUGCCAGUCGAACGGGAAUUAUUUUAUUGAACCUUCGGUCGAUUUAAUUUAAUUCUAGUGGCGGACGGGUGAGUAACGCGUGGGUAACCUGCCUUAUACAGGGGGAUAACAGUCAGAAAUGGCUGCUAAUACCGCAUAAGCGCACAGAGCUGCAUGGCUCAGUGUGAAAAACUCCGGUGGUAUAAGAUGGACCCGCGUUGGAUUAGCUGGUUGGUGGGGUAACGGCCCACCAAGGCGACGAUCCAUAGCCGGCCUGAGAGGGUGAACGGCCACAUUGGGACUGAGACACGGCCCAGACUCCUACGGGAGGCAGCAGUGGGGAAUAUUGCACAAUGGGGGAAACCCUGAUGCAGCGACGCCGCGUGAAGGAAGAAGUAUCUCGGUAUGUAAACUUCUAUCAGCAGGGAAGAUAGUGACGGUACCUGACUAAGAAGCCCCGGCUAACUACGUG